AUUGAACGCUGGCGGCAGGCCUAGCACAUGCAAGUCGAGCGGAUGAAGGGAGCUUGCUCCUGGAUUCAGCGGCGGACGGGUGAGUAAUGCCUAGGAAUCUGCCUGGUAGUGGGGGAUAACGUCCGGAAACGGGCGCUAAUACCGCAUACGUCCUGAGGGAGAAAGUGGGGGAUCUUCGGACCUCACGCUAUCAGAUGAGCCUAGGUCGGAUUAGCUAGUUGGUGGGGUAAAGGCCUACCAAGGCGACGAUCCGUAACUGGUCUGAGAGGAUGAUCAGUCACACUGGAACUGAGGCACGGUCCAGACUCCUACGGGAGGCAGCAGUGGGGAAUAUUGGACAAUGGGCGAAAGCCUGAUCCAGCCAUGCCGCGUGUGUGAAGAAGGUCUUCGGAUUGUAAAGCACUUUAAGUUGGGAGGAAGGGCAGUAAGUUAAUACCUUGCUGUUUUGACGUUACCAACAGAAUAAGCACCGGCUAACUUCGUG
This 484-nucleotide ribosomal RNA is filed under the name uncultured bacterium. RNAcentral describes it as "partial 16S ribosomal RNA". It matches the Rfam family "Bacterial small subunit ribosomal RNA", at positions 30 to 507 of the family's 1533-position model. The record is from RNAcentral.